AUUGAACGCUGGCGGCAGGCCUAACACAUGCAAGUCGAGCGAGCGGCGGACGGGUGAGUAAUGUCUGGGAAACUGCCUGAUGGAGGGGGAUAACUACUGGAAACGGUAGCUAAUACCGCAUACACUCAGAUGUGACCAGAUGGGAUUAGCUGGUAGGUGGGGUAACGGCUCACCUAGGCGACGAUACCUAGCUGGUCUGAGCGGAUGCCCAGCCAACCUGGAACUGUGCCACGGUCCAGACUCCUAAGGGAGGACGCAGUGGGGAAUAUUGCACAAUGGGCGGAAGCCUGAUGCAGCCAUGCCGCGUGUGUGAAGAAGGCCUUCGGGUUGUAAAGCACUUUCAGCGGGGAGGCGUUACCCGCAGAAGAAGCACCGGCUAACUCCGUGCCAGCAGCCGCGGUAAUUC
RNAcentral lists this ribosomal RNA (406 nucleotides) under uncultured bacterium. RNAcentral describes it as "partial 16S ribosomal RNA". It matches the Rfam family "Bacterial small subunit ribosomal RNA", at positions 30 to 526 of the family's 1533-position model. The record is from RNAcentral.